RNAcentral lists this ribosomal RNA (478 nucleotides) under uncultured organism. RNAcentral describes it as "partial 16S ribosomal RNA". It matches the Rfam family "Bacterial small subunit ribosomal RNA", at positions 329 to 799 of the family's 1533-position model. The record is from RNAcentral.
ACGUACACUCCACGGGAGGCAGCAGUGGGGAAUUUUGGACAAUGGGCGAAAGCCUGAUCCAGCAAUGCCGCGUGAGUGAAGAAGGCCUUCGGGUUGCAAAGCUCUUUUGUCAGGGAAGAAACGGUGAAAGCUAAUAUCUUUUGCUAAUGACGGUACCUGAAGAAUAAGCACCGGCUAACUACGUGCCAGCAGCCGCGGUAAUACGGAGGGUGCAAGCGUUAAUCGGAAUUACUGGGCGUAAAGCGUGCGCAGGCGGUUUUGUAAGUCUGAUGUGAAAUCCCCGGGCUCAACCUGGGAAUUGCAUUGGAUACUGCAAGGCUAGAAUCUGGCAGAGGGGGGUAGAAUUCCACGUGUAGCAGUGAAAUGCGUAGAUAUGUUGAGGAACACCGAUGGCGAAGGCAGCCCCCUGGGUCAAGAUUGACGCUCAUGCACGAAAGCGUGGGGAGCAAACAGGAUUAGAUACCCCAGUAGUCCCAUG